Molecule: ribosomal RNA, 387 nt
Filed under: uncultured bacterium
Lineage: Bacteria
Description: bacterial SSU rRNA
Rfam family: Bacterial small subunit ribosomal RNA
Source: RNAcentral
GAUGAACGCUAGCUACAGGCUUAACACAUGCAAGUCGAGGGGCAUCAGGAAGAAAGCUUGCUUUCUUUGCUGGCGACCGGCGCACGGGUGAGUAACACGUAUCCAACCUGCCUCACACUGGGGGAUAACAGUCAGAAAUGACUGCUAAUACCGCAUAAGCGCACGGAACCGCAUGGUUUUGUGUGAAAAACUCCGGUGGUGUGAGAUGGACCCGCGUUGGAUUAGCCAGUUGGUAGGGUAACGGCCUACCAAAGCGACGAUCCAUAGCCGGCCUGAGAGGGUGAACGGGCCACAUUGGGACUGAGACACGGCCCAGGACUCCUACGGGAGGCAGCAGUGGGGAAUAUUGCACAAUGGGGGAACCCUGAUGCAGCGACGCCGCGUGAA